GAUGAACGCUGGCGGCGUGCUUAACACAUGCAAGUCGAACGGUGAAGGCGGAGCUUGCUCUGCUGAAUCAGUGGCGAACGGGUGAGUAACACGUGAGCAAUCUGCCCCUGACUCUGGGAUAAGCGCUGGAAACGGCGUCUAAUACUGGAUACGAGCUGCGAAGGCAUCUUCAGCAGCUGGAAAGAAUUUCGGUCAGGGAUGAGCUCGCGGCCUAUCAGCUUGUUGGUGAGGUAAUGGCUCACCAAGGCGUCGACGGGUAGCCGGCCUGAGAGGGUGACCGGCCACACUGGGACUGAGACACGGCCCAGACUCCUACGGGAGGCAGCAGUGGGGAAUAUUGCACAAUGGGCGAAAGCCUGAUGCAGCAACGCCGCGUGAGGGACGACGGCCUUCGGGUUGUAAACCUCUUUUAGCAGGGAAGAAGCGAAAGUGACGGUACCUGCAGAAAAAGCGCCGGCUAACUACGUG
Molecule: ribosomal RNA, 468 nt
Filed under: uncultured bacterium
Lineage: Bacteria
Description: partial 16S ribosomal RNA
Rfam family: Bacterial small subunit ribosomal RNA
Source: RNAcentral